GCGGCAGCGGGGAGCGAGCCGCCGGGACCGACCCACGGGGAGCGAGCCGCCGGGACCGACCCACGGGGAGCGAGCCGCCGGGACCGACCCACGGGGAGCGAGCCGCCGGGACCGAAUCGCUGAGACCGAGCCUCCGGAGCGCGGGUCGCGGAGCCGGGCUGGCCAGCACUCUGGUGGCGGGCGCAGCCAGACUCGUAGCUCUUAAUGCUUUCGCUUCCCUCGAGCUCCAGAGUUGAAGUCUGUGUUGUAACUCCGGAACUGGGGGCAGAGGAGCAGGCGGACGCUCGCUAGAGGGGAGCGAGCGACCCUCGGUCCAGCUCUGCGUCCGACACCCACCCGUGCGCUCCACGGAGAGAGAGGCUCCCCUGCUUCACUGCCUGCCCGACUCCCGAAGGUGUCACGGUUAGCGAACAUGUGCUGACAGAUGAGUCGUGCCCUAUAGUUUAGUUCCUAAAGGAAAGUGUCUGUGUGCAUCCCGGUCCGUAAGAGUCGCCUCUCUCUGCUGUAACUUUUAAGCUUCUUGGGGUAAGAAUUGCAACAGGUUCUGAUCUGCGGAAAAAACUGACCAAGGCAGCUGCUCCAAAUUCAAUGUAAGAAAACCACCAUUGGAAGCAAACUGCACUAGAAGUAAAAAAUUCAAGUACUUGCUGCCCUUUUGCAGGAUCUUUUACAAGGCUACACUACAAGCUAAAGCAGACACUGAUACAAAUGAAAUGGGAAACUCGGGGAGGCAAGAGCACAACAGUAAUGACAACAAAAAAAUGCUCUGCCGUGAUUUGGGCCAGCAUUUGACACAGAGAGUUUUUUGGCUCUUCGGCCGCAGUUACACAGAGGGGG
Molecule: long non-coding RNA, 837 nt
Organism: Parus major (Great Tit)
Lineage: Eukaryota; Metazoa; Chordata; Aves; Passeriformes; Paridae
Exons: 3
Source: RefSeq, a predicted model, not a curated record